Alexandromys fortis (reed vole) is the source of this 223-nucleotide long non-coding RNA. RefSeq lists it as uncharacterized. The record is from RefSeq and is a predicted model, not a curated record. The transcript is spliced from 2 exons. NCBI's taxonomy places the organism in Eukaryota, Metazoa, Chordata, Mammalia, Rodentia, Cricetidae.
UUUAUCCUAAUUUCAGACCCACCCCCAAGAACUCACUUUUCGGAGCUGUGGCGGCAUUUGGGCCCCUCAUCUUCUGGUAUUACAUUUUCAAAACAGACAGGGACAGAAAGGAAAAACUUAUCCAGGAAGGAAAAUUGGACCGAUCUUUGAAUAUCACCUAUUAAUUUUGGCAAGGAUGACACGAUCCUUGAAUAAUUAAAUAAAUCUAUUAUCGCUGAACAGA